Molecule: long non-coding RNA, 441 nt
Filed under: Rattus norvegicus (Norway rat)
Lineage: Eukaryota; Metazoa; Chordata; Mammalia; Rodentia; Muridae
Description: long non-coding RNA NONRATT018790
Source: RNAcentral
GCGGCGCGGGGCGCGGAGCCGAGGGAAGCCGAGGGGGCGGAAGCGGUCGCGACUCUUAGCGCGUGUGCUCGGGCUCCUCACGUGGCGGCCGGGGCCGCCUGUUCCCUCCCGCCUUCCGAGAGCAGACGCGCCGUCGCCUUCCGUGCCGCGCGGCUUCCUCCAGACCUCAGCGCGGGUGAGCCCUAUUUCUAGAGACAGCUGCUGCUGACCCUGUAACCCAAAGGACAAAAUAGCUGGCUAAACUCAUUCUUGGUGCACACCAUGUCCUUGAAGAUUCAGACCAGCAAUGUAACCAACAAGAAUGACCCUAAGUCCAUCAACUCUCGGGUCUUCAUUGGAAACCUAAACACAGCUGUAGUGAAGAAGUCAGAUGUGGAGACCAUCUUUUCCAAAUAUGGCCGUGUGGCUGGCUGUUCUGUGCACAAAGGUUAUGCUUUUGUC